Molecule: ribosomal RNA, 497 nt
Filed under: uncultured bacterium
Lineage: Bacteria
Description: partial 16S ribosomal RNA
Rfam family: Bacterial small subunit ribosomal RNA
Source: RNAcentral
GAUGAACGCUGGCGGCGUGCCUAAUACAUGCAAGUCGAGCGAACAGGCGAGGAGCUUGCUCCUCUGACGUUAGCGGCGGACGGGUGAGUAACACGUGGAUAACCUACCUAUAAGACUGGGAUAACUUCGGGAAACCGGAGCUAAUACCGGAUAAUAUAUUGAACCGCAUGGUUCAAUAGUGAAAGACGGUUUUGCUGUCACUUAUAGAUGGAUCCGCGCCGCAUUAGCGAGUUGGUAAGGUAACGGCUUACCAAGGCAACGAUGCGUAGCCGACCUGAGAGGGUGAUCGGCCACACUGGAACUGAGACACGGUCCAGACUCCUACGGGAGGCAGCAGUAGGGAAUCUUCCGCAAUGGGCGAAAGCCUGACGGAGCAACGCCGCGUGAGUGAUGAAGGUCUUCGGAUCGUAAAACGCUGUUAUUAGGGAAGAACAAAUGUGUAAGUAACUAUGCACGUCUUGACGGUACCUAAUCAGAAAGCCACGGCUAACUACGUG